RNAcentral lists this ribosomal RNA (433 nucleotides) under uncultured bacterium. Its description in RNAcentral is "partial 16S ribosomal RNA". It matches the Rfam family "Bacterial small subunit ribosomal RNA", at positions 29 to 507 of the family's 1533-position model. The record is from RNAcentral.
AACGAACGCUGGCGGCAGGCCUAACACAUGCAAGUCGAGCGAGAUCUUCGGGUCUAGCGGCGGACGGGUGAGUAACGCGUGGGAAUAUGCCCUUCUCUGCGGAAUAGCCUCGGGAAACUGAGCGUAAUACCGCAUACGCCCUGUGGGGGAAAGAUUUAUCGGAGAAGGAUUAGCCCGCGUUGGAUUAGGUAGUUGGUGGGGUAACGGCCUACCAAGCCGACGAUCCAUAGCUGGGUUGAGAGGAUGAUCAGCCACACUGGGACUGAGACACGGCCCAGACUCCUACGGGAGGCAGCAGUGGGGAAUCUUAGACAAUGGGGGCAACCCUGAUCGAGCCAUGCCGCGUGAGUGAUGAAGGCCUUAGGGUUGUAAAGCUCUUUCAGCUGGGAAGAUAAUGACGGUACCAGCAGAAGAAGCCCCGGCUAACUCCGUG